RNAcentral lists this ribosomal RNA (886 nucleotides) under uncultured Actinomycetales bacterium. RNAcentral's name for it is "bacterial SSU rRNA". It matches the Rfam family "Bacterial small subunit ribosomal RNA", at positions 594 to 1482 of the family's 1533-position model. The record is from RNAcentral. Lineage: Bacteria; Bacillati; Actinomycetota; Actinomycetes; Actinomycetales.
GUGAAAACCUGAGGCUCAACCUCAGGCCUGCAUUCGAUACGGGCAAACUAGAGUUUGGUAGGGGAGACUGGAAUUCCUGGUGUAGCGGUGGAAUGCGCAGAUAUCAGGAGGAACACCAAUGGCGAAGGCAGGUCUCUGGGCCAAUACUGACACUGAGGAGCGAAAGUCUGGGGAGCGAACAGGAUUAGAUACCCUGGUAGUCCAGACCGUAAACGGUGGGCACUAGUUGUGGGAACCUUCCACGGUUUCUGCGACGCAGCUAACGCAUUAAGUGCCCCGCCUGGGGAGUACGAUCGCAAGAUUAAAACUCAAAGGAAUUGACGGGGCCCCGCACAAGCAGCGGAGCAUGCGGCUUAAUUCGACGCAACGCGAAGAACCUUACCAAGGCUUGACAUAUAGGGAAAAGUGGCAGAGAUGUCGUGUCCGCAAGGGCUCUAUACAGGUGGUGCAUGGUUGUCGUCAGCUCGUGUCGUGAGAUGUUGGGUUAAGUCCCGCAACGAGCGCAACCCUCGUUCUGUGUUGCCAGUAUUUAGUUGGGGACUCACAGGAGACUGCCGGGGUUAACUCGGAGGAAGGUGGGGAUGACGUCAAAUCAUCAUGCCCCUUAUGUCUUGGGCUGCACGCAUGCUACAAUGGCCGGUACAGAGGGCUGCAAUACCGUAAGGUGGAGCGAAUCCCAAAAAGCCGGUCUCAGUUCGGAUUGAGGUCUGCAACUCGACCUCAUGAAGUUGGAGUUGCUAGUAAUCGUAGAUCAGCAACGCUACGGUGAAUACGUUCCCGGGGCUUGUACACACCGCCCGUCACGUCACGAAAGUCGGUAACACCCAAAGUCAGUGGCCCAACCGCAAGGGGGGAGCUGCCUAAGGUGGGAUCGGUGAUUGGGACG